CAUUACAGUUGGUUAUUUAGAAAGAAGGAAGAUGGUUAUGGUUGAAUUUGCAUGGCAAGAAGACACCGUUACCUCUGUGCAAUACAGUUUUCAAGCUGCCAAGAGAGUAAGUGAGGUUUAGAGAGCUCAGCUAGUUUGCUGUGAGCUGGGAGCAGGCUUGCCUGGCCUGGCAGGAGUCAAGUUCAUAACACAACGCAUGUCUUCUUGGAGGAAAGCAGUGUUUCUCAAAUAGGCUUUUGAAUUCGUGUUCUGUUUUCACACCUUUUGUCAAGGAUUGAACCAAAGAUGCGUCUCCGGUUCUGUGUCCAUGCCGUCCAUGUGUGCGUGUUUUGUGGACCCCAGUAUUGUCUGACCGUGUUGAGCUGGAGCCUGCCGGGGGCUGUCUCCACGUGGGGCCUGGGCCCUGGCACUUGGCAGGGACCACUCGGCCGUGAGCAGAAUUGGGGAAGGAAGAAGAAUUAGCACAGGUUGGAUAGCAGUUAGCUCAGGAGACAAGUUACACCACAGCCUGGCGUCUUCAACUGUUGACAAGUGCAGGCAUGACCAGAAACCACUGCUGUGGCCACCCUAGGGCUCGUCCUCUCAGUCCCAGUGGUUCCAAAACAGGUCACUGCCCUUGAGGAUUGCAAAGCCUGCCUUCACGUCCAUUGGCAGCCAGCCUGUGCCAGAGAGUGAAGUGGUUCUUCAUCUUUUCUCAUUUCCCAGUGGUGAUUUCCUUCGGCCCCACACGUCUCCUACUCAGCGAGGAGAGAGCAGGGCUCCAGACUGGGUUCUGGAACUUUCCAUUGAAAAUAGAGCUUUUUAAGCAGAGAGAAGAAAAGAAGCUUUUCCACACGAGACUCUCUCCAUUUGAUGUGAAUUGUUUGAUUUUCGAUGGGUGAAGAAACCUUUUUGAUGGUUUCGAGCUGCAAGUGUCCCGCUUUGCAGGUUUGCGGGCUGUGUUCCUGUGCCUUGUGAACUGCCUCUAGUCCUUGAUGUCUUUUUCUUGUAUCUUACCUUCCUUGACAACGUGAGUGUUUCUGUGUCGCUGUUAGAUGGUCGGAACCUGUUUCCCGUUCCUCACUUGCUUCAAGAACAGCUGCAGACUGUCAUCCAGCUAACUGACCGUGUCGCCGUUGGUAACUUGAACUGUGACCUCAGGUUUAUUCCGAACCCAGUGAGAGGUGAGGGGGAGUGGGGAAGAGGGGUGAGCUGUAUUUUUGUGUGUGUGAGCACCUGACAAAUCUAUGAAAUCGAGUG
RNAcentral lists this long non-coding RNA (1239 nucleotides) under Equus asinus (donkey). Its description in RNAcentral is "lncRNA (ENSEASG00005033289.1)". The record is from RNAcentral. Lineage: Eukaryota; Metazoa; Chordata; Mammalia; Perissodactyla; Equidae.